RNAcentral lists this ribosomal RNA (274 nucleotides) under uncultured bacterium. RNAcentral describes it as "partial 16S ribosomal RNA". It matches the Rfam family "Bacterial small subunit ribosomal RNA", at positions 523 to 796 of the family's 1533-position model. The record is from RNAcentral.
CUACGGAGGGGGCUAGCGUUGUUCGGAAUUACUGGGCGUAAAGCGCGCGUAGGCGGAUCGUUAAGUCAGGGGUGAAAGCCCGGGGCUCAACCCCGGAACUGCCCUUGAUACUGGCGAUCUAGAGUCCGGAAGAGGUGGGCGGAAUUCCCGGUGUAGAGGUGAAAUUCGUAGAUAUCGGGAGGAACACCAGUGGCGAAGGCGGCUCACUGGUCCGGCACUGACGCUGAGACGCGAAAGCGUGGGGAGCAAACAGGAUUAGAAACCCCAGUAGUCC